ACCCGCACAAGCGGUGGAUGAUGUGGAUUAAUUCGAUGCAACGCGAAAACCUUACCUACCCUUGACAUGUCCGGAAUCCUGCAGAGAUGCGGGAGUGCCGAAAGGGAAUCGGAACACAGGUGCUGCAUGGCUGUCGUCAGCUCGUGUCGUGAGAUGUUGGGUUAAGUCCCGCAACGAGCGCAACCCUUAUCAUUAGUUGCUACGCAAGGGCACUCUAAUGAGACUGCCGGUGACAAACCGGAGGAAGGUGGGGAUGACGUCAAGUCCUCAUGGCCCUUAUGGGUAGGGCUUCACACGUCAUACAAUGGUCGGUACAGAGGGUUGCCAAGCCGCGAGGUGGAGCCAAUCCCAGAAAGCCGAUCGUAGUCCGGAUUGUUCUCUGCAACUCGAGAGCAUGAAGUCGGAAUCGCUAGUAAUCGCGGAUCAGCAUGUCGCGGUGAAUACGUUCCCGGGUCUU
RNAcentral lists this ribosomal RNA (457 nucleotides) under uncultured Thiobacillus sp. RNAcentral's name for it is "bacterial SSU rRNA". It matches the Rfam family "Bacterial small subunit ribosomal RNA", at positions 919 to 1382 of the family's 1533-position model. Lineage: Bacteria; Pseudomonadati; Pseudomonadota; Betaproteobacteria; Nitrosomonadales; Thiobacillaceae. The record is from RNAcentral.